CCUACGGGAGGCAGCAGUGAGGAAUAUUGGUCAAUGGACGAGAGUCUGAACCAGCCAAGUAGCGUGAAGGAUGACUGCCCUAUGGGUUGUAAACUUCUUUUAUAUGGGAAUAAAACGUUCCACGUGUGGGAUUUUGUAUGUAGCAUAUGAAUAAGGAUCGGCUAACUCCGUGCCAGCAGCCGCGGUAAUACGGAGGAUCCGAGCGUUAUCCGGAUUUAUUGGGUUUAAAGGGAGCGUAGGUGGAUUGUUAAGUCAGUUGUGAAAGUUUGCGGCUCAACCGUAAAAUUGCAGUUGAAACUGGCAGUCUUGAGUACAGUAGAGGUGGGCGGAAUUCGUGGUGUAGCGGUGAAAUGCUUAGAUAUCACGAAGAACUCCGAUUGCGAAGGCAGUUCACUGGACUGCAACUGACACUGAGGCUCGAAAGUGUGGGUAUCAAACAGGAUUAGAUACCCCGGUAGUC
RNAcentral lists this ribosomal RNA (460 nucleotides) under uncultured bacterium. RNAcentral's name for it is "partial 16S ribosomal RNA". It matches the Rfam family "Bacterial small subunit ribosomal RNA", at positions 338 to 795 of the family's 1533-position model. The record is from RNAcentral.